UGAUUUUUCUCCCCCUUUCUCUCGAAACAAACGUUAAAAAAUAAAAAUCUAAGAAGGCCAAUGUCAUUGGAGGUUGCUGGUCUGCAAUAGGGUUUAUCAAAUAUCCAAAUACCCACACGAUUCCAACUAGCAUAACUGUUCCCACAUUGGAAUUUGGUGUUUCUUUAUUGGUUUUCCCUGAAUUUUGUGUUUGGACAAUCAAUUUCAAAUGGGCAUUGAUGAAAUGUUUGCCUGGUUGAGUUACAUUCUAUUUUCUUCCAGUUUCUGGGAGAAGAAAGAUGGAAUGAUGUCAGUUGUUUCAAAGAUUCCAAUUCAAGAUUUCUGCUUUUUAAUUACUUGUAUUAAUUUAAAGAAAUGCUGAGAAAUGAUGCCAUUAAUAUUUAGUAUUCAAGCAAAGAAUUCCUUGUUUUCCUGUCCUAAUCUGGUGAUAUGCCAUAAAUUUGGCUUCCUAUGCAUCAGGGCAGACUCAAGGUUUUUGAGCUGUGGUGGUUGUUUCAAAAGAAACUGGAUGGGGAGUCUAGCAUUAGCAUAUUCUACAACAAUCAUGUUGAGGUGUUUAAUCACAACUUGGUGAAAUCUUGAUCUCUGUAAUUGCAGACAGUCAAGUUAUAAUGUGUCGUCUUCGAACUUGGGAUGAAGAGGAUGAAGACCACUCCCUGAAUACUGGUAAUCAGCUGGAGCAUGAUGAGAUGAGGGUGGAAGUUCGGGUUGCCAUGCUGCGAGCACAGAUAGCAGGGAUUGAAGCUCGGGUGGAAAGACUAGAGGCAAGGAUGUUGUAUCUGCAAAGGGGAUUGCAUAUCAUUUCUGCCCUGUUUUUUGCUACACUUGUGUAUGCAUUGUUGAAAUGACACAAACGUAGCUAUUAUUACUGCCUAUAAUUUGAAAGAACGUGUCACAGAUUGCAUUGCUUGUUUCAUUCUGAGGCUAAUACCUUUGUCUUGCCCUAA
Vitis riparia (riverbank grape) is the source of this 947-nucleotide long non-coding RNA. RefSeq lists it as uncharacterized. Lineage: Eukaryota; Viridiplantae; Streptophyta; Magnoliopsida; Vitales; Vitaceae. The record is from RefSeq and is a predicted model, not a curated record. The transcript is spliced from 2 exons.